Long non-coding RNA from Oncorhynchus nerka (sockeye salmon), 230 nucleotides. RefSeq lists it as uncharacterized. The transcript has 3 exons. NCBI's taxonomy places the organism in Eukaryota, Metazoa, Chordata, Actinopteri, Salmoniformes, Salmonidae. The record is from RefSeq and is a predicted model, not a curated record.
AAGUUCGUCCCCACCAACAUGCGUGUCACUGUCCAGAUGAAUACUACAGAGCUGCUGGUUGUUCACCUGUGUCAUAAUGAUGAGAUGUUUAAAUGCUCUGCCUUGAUGGACCCGCGAUCAAACCAGCGAAGAAUACAAUUUCAUGAAUACACAGGGCUAUGUCCAUGAAUGGCCUCUGCCAGUGUCUCGAUUCUACAGGAGCUCCUACCACUUCCGCUCAGCAGUGGCUG